CUCAGACCGUACGCCGUGUACGUGCACGUUCCCUAUGGACAGAGGACUCAGGUCUACGGCUUGGGAGGAUACUUCGACGGGAACAGAGACAACGACUUCGUAAGUCGAAGUGGGAAUCUGUCGAGCCUCGAAGUCUUUGCGAAUUCGUGGAAGACACCAAACCAAGACAACCUUCCGUGUGAGAGUCCUCGAGGGGGGGUUGAUCUUUGUCAGUCAGUAUCUGCAUCAGAGACUGUGAACAAGAGAACGGCAUGCAUGAAUGCGCUUGCACAAUUUGAGGCUGCAUUGGAAAAUGAGGAAUUCCAAGCUCGCCUGGAUGCUUGCGUUCAGGAUCUAUGUGCCUGCGAAGCUGGGAAGACGGAUACUUGUUUGAAAACUGUCACUGACACCGCAAAAGAUUCAAAGGAUGACAGGACAAAUACA
Molecule: long non-coding RNA, 423 nt
Organism: Macrobrachium nipponense
Lineage: Eukaryota; Metazoa; Arthropoda; Malacostraca; Decapoda; Palaemonidae
Exons: 4
Source: RefSeq, a predicted model, not a curated record